This 501-nucleotide ribosomal RNA is filed under the name uncultured Glomus. RNAcentral describes it as "SSU rRNA". It matches the Rfam family "Eukaryotic small subunit ribosomal RNA", at positions 569 to 1075 of the family's 1831-position model. The record is from RNAcentral. Lineage: Eukaryota; Fungi; Glomeromycota; Glomeromycetes; Glomerales; Glomeraceae.
AGCAGCCGCGGUAAUUCCAGCUCCAAUAGCGUAUAUUAAAGUUGCUGCAGUUAAAAAGCUCGUAGUUGAAUUUCGGGACCAUCAUGUCGGUCAUGCUUCGGUACGUACUGGCAUUGUUGGUUUCUACCUUCUGACGAACCAUGAUGUCAUUAAUUUGGUGUCUUGGGGAAUCAGGACUGUUACUUUGAAAAAAUUAGAGUGUUUAAAGCAGGCUCGCGCUUGAAUACAUUAGCAUGGAAUAAUGAAAUAGGACGUUUGAUUCUAUUUUGUUGGUUUCUAGGAUCGACGUAAUGAUUAAUAGGGAUAGUUGGGGGCAUUAGUAUUCAAUUGUCAGAGGUGAAAUUCUUGGAUUUAUUGAAGACUAACUACUGCGAAAGCAUUUGCCAAGGAUGUUUUCAUUAAUCAAGAACGAAAGUUAGGGGAUCGAAGACGAUCAGAUACCGUCGUAGUCUUAACCAUAAACUAUGCCGACUAGGGAUCGGAUGAUGUAAUUUUUAAUGA